UGGAAGAUUGUCCGAGUUGGCCGAAGGAGCACGCCUGGAAAGUGUGUAGGCGCCACAAGCGUCUCGGGGGUUCGAAUCCCCCAUCUUCCGG
This 91-nucleotide transfer RNA is filed under the name Staphylococcus muscae. RNAcentral describes it as "tRNA-Ser(gga)". It matches the Rfam family "tRNA". Rfam says of the family: Transfer RNA (tRNA) molecules are approximately 80 nucleotides in length. Their secondary structure includes four short double-helical elements and three loops (D, anti-codon, and T loops). Lineage: Bacteria; Bacillati; Bacillota; Bacilli; Caryophanales; Staphylococcaceae. The record is from RNAcentral.